GCCCUGUUUAGUUCAAAAAAAUUCUUUUCACCUCAUUAUAUCGAAUCUUUAAACGCAUACAUGAAACAUUAAAUAUAGAUAAAAAAUCUAAUUACACAGUUUAUAUGUAAUUUAAAAAAACAAAUCUUUUAAAUUUAAUUAAUCCAUAAUUAGAUAUUAAUUACUAAAUAAACAAAAAAUGCUACGAUAGCCAAAUUUAAAAAAAAACAUAAACUAAACAAGGCAUUACUUGGUGACUGCGGCGGAAUAGAAGCUUUAUGUAAGAUGGCGAUGCUGGAGCUGGACAACAAUAGAGGUUUUCUGGAUGUGUUGUCAACCACAGACAUAGCUCGACUGCUCCCUGCUUUUCUCUCUAUUUUCAGUGCCUGUAGCUAAUUAUAAACUCUAUUUCGGUUAUUUAUCUGAACGUUUUUCUAGCAAUCCUAGC
This 427-nucleotide long non-coding RNA is filed under the name Sorghum bicolor (sorghum). RNAcentral's name for it is "long non-coding RNA (SBIC_LNC004223)". The record is from RNAcentral. Lineage: Eukaryota; Viridiplantae; Streptophyta; Magnoliopsida; Poales; Poaceae.